RNAcentral lists this ribosomal RNA (497 nucleotides) under uncultured bacterium. RNAcentral's name for it is "partial 16S ribosomal RNA". It matches the Rfam family "Bacterial small subunit ribosomal RNA", at positions 28 to 507 of the family's 1533-position model. The record is from RNAcentral.
GACGAACGCUGGCGGCGUGCCUAAUACAUGCAAGUUGAGCGCUGAAGGUUGGUACUUGUACCAACUGGAUGAGCAGCGAACGGGUGAGUAACGCGUGGGGAAUCUGCCUUUGAGCGGGGGACAACAUUUGGAAACGAAUGCUAAUACCGCAUAAAAACUUUAAACACAAGUUUUAAGUUUGAAAGAUGCAAUUGCAUCACUCAAAGAUGAUCCCGCGUUGUAUUAGCUAGUUGGUGAGGUAAAGGCUCACCAAGGCGAUGAUACAUAGCCGACCUGAGAGGGUGAUCGGCCACAUUGGGACUGAGACACGGCCCAAACUACUACGGGAGGCAGCAGGAGGGAAUCUUCGGCAAUGGACGAAAGUCUGACCGAGCAACGCCGCGUGAGUGAAGAAGGUUGUCGGAUCGUAAAACUCUGUUGGUAGAGAAGAACGUUGGUGAGAGUGGAAAGCUCAUCAAGUGACGGUAACUACCCAGAAAGGGACGGCUAACUACGUG